RNAcentral lists this non-coding RNA (881 nucleotides) under Pongo abelii (Sumatran orangutan). Lineage: Eukaryota; Metazoa; Chordata; Mammalia; Primates; Hominidae. The record is from RNAcentral.
GAUGUGGAAGCUCUUUGGAAACCAAGAAACACUCUGCAAAUGAAAAGGGUGGAAGAGUAAACUGUUCCCGUUUCUCCAAAUUGACAGGAAGCAGAAGUUCUCCUUAGCUGAUUUUUCUUCUUGCCUUAUACUGGGUUCUUUAACACCAGAACAAAAAUAAAUAAAUAAAAGAAUCUUCCAGAAAUUCAUGAAGAGACUUCAGGUCAGGAAAGCCUGAACUUUCUCAUCUAACACCUGUUCAAGUCGGAGGAUGCUGAUUAAUUCAUGAUGGAAAGGUAUCAAUUUCACAGCCCAGACUUCUACAUUCUUGAAAUGCUGUUCUCAUGGGAGACAUUAAAUAAGCUUUGAAAUAACUGAAGAACCAAUGAUGUGAUCCCUGGAUACUGGCAAUUGUUGCCCAAGAAACCCUCUCCCCUUGCUAUGGGACUGCUGGGCACCCAAAUAAUGCACCCAAAUAAUUUGAUAGCUCUUGUUACACAGCUCUUUUUGGACUAAAAGGCCCUCAGCAUUCCUGGCAAUUUCUACACUCCUGAAGCUUCAUCUGGAGACGUCUGUGGAUUCUAUAACUCAAAGACCCAGGCUGAUGGCUGGUGGAAUAGCUACCAUCUCAAACAUGGCGUGAUGCUGCAUCAGAGGGAAAAAUAAGCUCUUGCACUGGCAAUGAAAUGUCUACCCUGUAGUGACUUGUGCUUACUUCCACUCACAAAUGAUUGCCCAGAGCUACUUACCUGGCUCCAAUCUACCACUGGGUGUGUACGUGCAAUCUACUGUGUACCUAGAAGAUGAGAGGAACAAAUUAUUAAUGAUGACCACACCCCAAGACUAACAAUAAUUGCAGAAGAAUCAAUGACUUAAACAAAAAUAUGGCCAUUGAAGGAAUA